This 351-nucleotide unclassified non-coding RNA is filed under the name soil metagenome. RNAcentral describes it as "partial contains 5.8S ribosomal RNA, internal transcribed spacer 2, and large subunit ribosomal RNA". The stretch from base 1 to 120 matches the Rfam family "5.8S ribosomal RNA", at positions 35 to 154 of the family's 154-position model. The record is from RNAcentral.
GAUGAAGAACGCAGCGAAAUGCGAAAAAUAAUGUGAAUUGCAGAAUUCAGUGAAUCAUCGAAUCUUUGAACGCACAUUGCGCCCGCCAGUAUUCUGGCGGGCAUGCCUGUCUGAGCGUCAUUUCAACCCUCACGCCCCUAGGGCGUGGUGUUGGGGAUCGGCCAAGGCCCGCAAGGGACGGCCGGCCCCUAAAUCUAGUGGCGGACCCAUCGUGGCCUCCCCUGCGAAGUAGUAAUAUAUUCCGCAUCGGAUAGCGAUGAGCCCCUGCCGUUAAACCCCCAACUCUUUCAAGGUUGACCUCAGAUCAGGUAGGAAUACCCGCUGAACUUAAGCAUAUCAAUAAGCGGAGGA